RNAcentral lists this ribosomal RNA (301 nucleotides) under uncultured bacterium. RNAcentral describes it as "partial 16S ribosomal RNA". It matches the Rfam family "Archaeal small subunit ribosomal RNA", at positions 459 to 760 of the family's 1478-position model. The record is from RNAcentral.
CAGUCGCCGCGGUAAAACCAGCACCUCGAGUGGUCAGGAGGUUUAUUGGGCCUAAAGCAUCCGUAGCCGGUUGCAUAAGUUUUCGGUUAAAUCUAUGCGCUUAACGUAUAGGCCGCCGAAAAUACUGUGCAGCUAGGGAGUGGGAGAGGUACACGGUACUCGAUAGGAAGGGGUAAAAUCCUUUGAUCUAUUGAUGACCACCUGUGGCGAAGGCGGUGUACCAGAACACGUUCGACGGUGAGGGAUGAAAGCUGGGGGAGCAAACCGGAUUAGAUACCCGCGUAGUCCCUGUCUCUUAUAC